This 253-nucleotide long non-coding RNA is filed under the name Bos taurus (domestic cattle). RNAcentral describes it as "long non-coding RNA NONBTAT015992". Lineage: Eukaryota; Metazoa; Chordata; Mammalia; Artiodactyla; Bovidae. The record is from RNAcentral.
CAUCAAAACUGUGACUUUUUGACUAAUUAUCAGAUGAACUGAAGAGAGGAUAACAUUGUUGAGAUUCACUUUAGUGGGCUAGAAGAUCAAGGGGGUAUAAAUACUUCAAAGUUCUGGGAAAAAAAUAAUUUGAAGAUGAGGGGAAAAAAAACAGAAAAAUUUGAGAAUAGAUCCAGGAGAACCUAAUAACAAAACCUACAUAACUUAAAUAAACCUACAUAACAAGAAGGGGGAAAAAGUGAGGAAAUGUAAU